This 464-nucleotide ribosomal RNA is filed under the name Fauriella tenerrima. RNAcentral describes it as "eukaryotic LSU rRNA". The stretch from base 1 to 148 matches the Rfam family "5.8S ribosomal RNA". The record is from RNAcentral. Lineage: Eukaryota; Viridiplantae; Streptophyta; Bryopsida; Hypnales; Thuidiaceae.
UCAGCAACGGAUAUCUUGGCUCUUGCAACGAUGAAGAACGCAGCGAAAUGCGAUACUUAAUGUGAAUUGCAGAAUUCCGCGAAUCAUCGAGUCUUUGAACGCAAGUUGCGCCCGAGGCUUGUCCGAGGGCAUUUCCGCUAGAGCGUCACCGCGCCCCCCCACCGAUCCGGUCCGCGCCGCUCCCGCGGCGCCGCGAGCUCGGGUCGAGUGAAAGUGGCCGUCCCGGCGGGCCUCCUCCUCCUCGCGAGGGCGAGGGCGCCCCAAGGGUGGGCUGAAAUGGAUGCAACGGGGCCGCCGCGGCGGCGCAGCCCGCGAUCGGGUGACGUCCCGGACAGCCGUCCGGGACUCUUUCUAAGUGCGCGGCUGCGUCCCCCAGUCGGUUCCCUGGCUCGUGCAGGUCGAGCGCGCGCCCCCCGCGGCGCGCGCGUCACGCAUCAGACCUCUAAUCGGAAAAGACCGCCCGC